GCUGUUAUAGCUCAGUGGUAGAGCACUUCCUUGGUAAGGAAGAGGUCACGAGUUCAAAUCUCGUUAACAGCUCCA
RNAcentral lists this transfer RNA (75 nucleotides) under Alloprevotella sp. RNAcentral describes it as "tRNA-Thr". It matches the Rfam family "tRNA". From Rfam's summary of the family: Transfer RNA (tRNA) molecules are approximately 80 nucleotides in length. Lineage: Bacteria; Pseudomonadati; Bacteroidota; Bacteroidia; Bacteroidales; Prevotellaceae. The record is from RNAcentral.